GCCGUCACCGAACAGAUCGCCCCCGCCCCCGCCACUCAUCCCCCUCCCGCGGCGGUUGGGCCCUUCCAACCAAUGGCGGAGCUCCGGUACAGUUGUGGAGCGAGUUUUCACUUCGCACCCGCUUCGGAUCGACGGAAAGAUCCGAGUUGAGCGACACAGUUAGUUUAGCACACACCUUGUGGUUAACUGUAGCGUGUACAGUUCAUGCUUAUUUAUAUCUCUAUUACACUGUAGUUGUAAUUUAAUAUUACAGAAAAUGUCAUGGGAUUAUUCUUACACGUUGAUGAAUGUAAAAACAGCAACUUUUAGCAGUUACGCUUAUAUUUAUAGUUUAUUUAUAAAAGUAUUUAUAAAAAAUGCUGUUAUAAGAUAAGAGAUAAUAAGAGAAAUACACCUACAACUAAUUGUGCUUUAGUCAAUUUACUUUGUUAUUCACUGUUCGUUGUUAUUUUUUACUCAAGUAAAACAAUUGCAUUCUUUGUAAAUCAUUGUGAAUAACAACAUUUUUAAUUAUGGGUCUCUAUAUGUUUAAUCAGUUUACAGCUUUAAAACUAAAUAUGUAAUCUGCUUCAUCUUUAUGACACGAGGGAGAGACAAUUAUUAUGGAGGGAUUUCACCGUUCUUCUCUGAGUGAAAACACCCCACUUGGAUCUUGUGUCUUUGGGCAUCAUGUUUGCCUUUGACCCGCUCCCUCCCCCCACAUAAUGACUUAAUCAAAUCAGCCUAUUUGCCAAUCCAAUACAUUAAAUUAGAUAACCUCAAAUAAGCAAGAAUCAUUGUCAGAUUUAUCCCAGAAAGAUGUAGCGGUUUUGUCGCUUUCACGUGAUGGAAAUCAUGUUGAAAGUUGAAGUGUUCACCACUAGGUGAAGCUAUAACUUAGCGUAAGUCUUUGGUUCUGGAUGGAAGUGGAUGGAAAAGAUUUAACAUUCAGUGGAGUUCAGUACGUGACUGAUUUGCCUUUUACGUUUCAAGUUACCGACCUGUACCAAAUUUCUACUUCACACAACAAAUUUAAUUUAUAUUAUUAUUAUUAUAAUAAUCCAGACAUUAGGACACUGUACGAAAAUCUUAAAUAAGUAAAUUAAAUAUGGCUGAAUUCCAUUUAGCUGCUUCAGUUUCAGGGUCCUCAUAUUUUUUAUGCUGGGUAAGCAUCACACUGUCACCGAGAACCGAGCCACCAUUAAUGCUUUAGGUAACACUUGGGCUUCAUCCGUCAGGGCCCCUGUUACUCAAUUAUGGUGCUAUACCGCAAAUAUUGAUUGUGAUCCAGUCCUGUCUUCACAGGCUCUCAGCAGGCCAAACUGCCAACUUUCCACUCCAUGCGUGUUUUAUAUUGUGCAAUCUAUUCAAAAUGCGUCAUAACACCAACGAAUAUCAACAUGUGGUUGCCAUAACCUCACCGUUUAAUCCACUCAAUGUUGUCUUGAGUUGUCUUUUAUGACAUUAUUGGACACACGAAGGGACAUUUAGCGUCAAUCAACCUUCAUGGAGAUUCACUUAGGCAGGCAGACUAUUUAAAAUAGUCGCCGCCUGUUGCUGCAGAGUUUCUGUGAUUACCAGCCCACUCUUUUACUACUGCGAAGUCAUGAAUGACCCAAACAGGAAUGUGGGUCCUCGACAUCAGAUGAGGCGCUGUAUCACCACGCCUGCUUCCAAUUAACCCUCUUGCAGGGUCUCUUUUAAAGCCCAAAAUAACUUCACACAGUCACGGGUGUAGGACUACCCUGAGGUUCCUCUUUAAAUGAAGCAGAGGUCAAAGGUGAUUGGGAAGUAGGCUUCCUGUUUCAGUUGGAAUACUUGAACUCCUCAGAGAGCCGUGGGUCGCAGAGGGAAUGAGCGUCUGUGAGAGGCCCACACAUUUCACAGCCUGAGUCACACUCGGUGGCUCGGAGGACGCCCUGAGUGAGUGAGUUUGAGAGUAAAGUGUAUUGGUUUGAACUUAUUCAAAGGGCGGACAGGAAUUCCUGCAGUUAAAACACCAGUUAGUGCGGUAAGAAAUAAUACAAAACAAUAACAAAUAGACUUCACAGGACUACGGGGAAAUGGUAGCGCUAUCUACAAUCCGACGAUGGAGGCGAGAUCCGGCAGGUCGUCUGACACACGGGGCCGGCAGCCCGCUCCGACACGCCGAGGUGGUUGGUGGGAGAGAGGCACCGCAGCGACGGGCUGGAUAUCAUGUCGAGUGUGACUCACGCUCAGCUGCUCCCUUGAUUCCUUGCGGGCCUCGGAGCCACAGUUUGACCAAAAAAAUUUAACGUGCUGAUGUCUGCCUGGAAUCAGCCAGCCCGCACGAGAAAAAACCUCUAUGUGUCAUCCAGACAGGAGACGAGAUGCUUCAGAUAUGAAGAUCUGACAACAACAGCCGAGAGGCCACUGAUCAAGCAGCUGUUAUGAGUUUGGAGCGACAAUGUGGAACAAACACUUCUUUCAGUAGCGAAACAGUACAUAAAUCUCAUCUCUAUUUCCUGCGGUACACUUUAAGUGGUAGUACAUUUAAGCCAGCCUUUGGUGUUUGUUCAUCUGCAUACGAUUUACUGUUGUUGCCCUGAGGUGAACCAUACAUGUUUAUUUCUCUUAA
Molecule: non-coding RNA, 2578 nt
Organism: Gasterosteus aculeatus aculeatus (three-spined stickleback)
Lineage: Eukaryota; Metazoa; Chordata; Actinopteri; Perciformes; Gasterosteidae
Source: RefSeq, a predicted model, not a curated record